AAUGAACAGGAUAUUUCAUUGUUGUAAUAUCAUAAAAUCAGAAUUUGAGUACAUCUGGGCGAGCUUCCUGUUUCAGAGAUCUGUGCUGAAUGCAUAGUGAAGUCAUUGCUGCAAAGCCAUGGCCUUAGCCUUAGUCCUGGCAGUGGAGCAGUCAGGAGGGCACCUGAAGUCAUGUUCAUUGGGUCUUAAAGGAGAAACCUUAAGAUUCACAAUGUGGUGGUGAGACUUGCUCUUGGAUGCUGUCAGGAAGUAUCAUCUGACUGCGUUUGCUACCCUGGGGGAGACAAACAAAACUUGAGUGAAGGAAAAUGAGAACUCACCUGAAACCAAGAAGAGUCUUUGGAAAAGGAUUUUUGUGUAGGUCAUCUGGAAAGUGUUUACUCUUAGCAGUUAUGCAUAACUAUAGUCUUAAGAACAAAGUGAGGUGGGGGUGCGGGUAAGGGUGGGAAUGGGGUAGGGGUAAACGAGUGGGUGGAGACGUGUCUGUGUGUCCAAAAAACUG
This is a long non-coding RNA of Homo sapiens (human), 502 nucleotides long. Ensembl annotates it as long intergenic non-protein coding RNA 1332. Lineage: Eukaryota; Metazoa; Chordata; Mammalia; Primates; Hominidae. The record is from Ensembl.